RNAcentral lists this unclassified non-coding RNA (308 nucleotides) under uncultured fungus. RNAcentral's name for it is "partial internal transcribed spacer 1". Lineage: Eukaryota; Fungi. The record is from RNAcentral.
GCUUUAAUCAGCAAAAUUAUCUGCCCCAGGAUCAGGUUAGGAUCGUUCACCAUACGGUGAUCGAAGUGCAGGCCUGCUGAGAGCAUUCCCGCCAGUUGCCGCGCUAACGACUCGCCGCCGAACCAAAUAAUACAAACGCCCACCAGCAAUAUCAGCAGUGAGGUCAGUUCUCUGGAACGGGGGAUCUGCCCUUCUUCCCGCGCUUUUUCAAGUCGGUGGGGUGUGGGGGCUUCUGUUUUGUCGUCGUCGCUCUCUUCUGCCACGCAGCAAACCCUGGAUAGAUUGAUAAGCGAGAAUGAUGCCAGAAC